Molecule: transfer RNA, 72 nt
Organism: Camelus ferus (Wild Bactrian camel)
Lineage: Eukaryota; Metazoa; Chordata; Mammalia; Artiodactyla; Camelidae
Rfam family: tRNA
About the family: Transfer RNA (tRNA) molecules are approximately 80 nucleotides in length.
Source: Rfam
GAGGGUAUAGCUUAUUGGUAGAGUGUGUGCUUAGCAUGAACAAUGUCCUGGGUUUAAUCCCCAGUACCUCCC